RNAcentral lists this ribosomal RNA (254 nucleotides) under uncultured bacterium. RNAcentral's name for it is "partial 16S ribosomal RNA". It matches the Rfam family "Bacterial small subunit ribosomal RNA", at positions 524 to 776 of the family's 1533-position model. The record is from RNAcentral.
CACGUAGGGUGCGAGCGUUGUCCGGAAUUAUUGGGCGUAAAGAGCUCGUAGGCGGUGUGUCGCGUCGAUCGUGAAAACUUGGGGCUUAACCCUGAGCUUGCGGUCGAUACGGGCAUCACUUGAGUUCGGCAGGGGAGACUGGAAUUCCUGGUGUAGCGGUGAAAUGCGCAGAUAUCAGGAGGAACACCGGUGGCGAAGGCGGGAUCCUGGGCCAGUACUGACGCUGAGGAGCGAAAGCGUGGGGAGCAAACAGG